GAUUUCUGCCUAGUGCUCUCAAUGUCAAAGUGAAGAAAUUAAUGAAGCGCGGGUAAACGGCAGGAGUAACUAUGACUCUCUUAAGGUAGCCAAAUGCCUCGUCAUCUAAUUAGUGUCUCGCAUGAAUGGGU
This 131-nucleotide non-coding RNA is filed under the name Patagioenas fasciata monilis. Its description in RNAcentral is "Eukaryotic large subunit ribosomal RNA". It matches the Rfam family "Eukaryotic large subunit ribosomal RNA", at positions 2193 to 2324 of the family's 3401-position model. Lineage: Eukaryota; Metazoa; Chordata; Aves; Columbiformes; Columbidae. The record is from Rfam by way of RNAcentral.